This 741-nucleotide ribosomal RNA is filed under the name uncultured bacterium. RNAcentral describes it as "bacterial SSU rRNA". It matches the Rfam family "Bacterial small subunit ribosomal RNA", at positions 28 to 800 of the family's 1533-position model. The record is from RNAcentral.
AAUCAACGCUGGCGGCGCGCCUAACACAUGCAAGUCGAACGGGAAAGGGGAGCAAUCCCUGAGUAUAGUGGCGUACGGGUGAGUAACACGUGGGUAAUCUACCUCUGGGUGUGGAAUAACCUUGGGAAACCGGGGAUAAUACCGCAUAAGCCCGAUGGGGGAAAGUCGAAAGACGCCGAGAGAGGAGCCCGCGGCCGAUUAGCUAGUUGGCAGGGUAAAAGCCUACCAAGGCUCAGAUCGGUAGCCGGCCUGAGAGGGCACACGGCCACACUGGCACUGAAACACGGGCCAGACUCCUACGGGAGGCAGCAGUGGGGAAUCUUGCACAAUGGGGGAAACCCUGAUGCAGCGACGCCGCGUGAGCGAUGAAGCCCUUCGGGGCGUAAAGCUCUUUCGGCAGGGAAGAAACAUGACGGUACCUGCAGAAGCAGCUGCGGCUAACUACGUGCCAGCAGCCGCGGUAAUACGUAGGCAGCGAGCGUUGUUCGGAGUUACUGGGCGUAAAGGGUGUGUAGGCGGUCCUCUAAGUUUGGUGUGAAAUCUCCCGGCUUAACCGGGAGGGUGCGCCGAAAACUGGGGGACUAGAGUGCGGGAGGGGAGAGUGGAAUUCCUGGUGUAGCGGUGAAAUGCGUAGAUAUCAGGAGGAACACCGGUGGUGUAGACGGCUCUCUGGACCGUAACUGACGCUGAGACACGAAAGCGUGGGUAGCAAACAGGAUUAGAUACCCUGGUAGUCCACGC